AAGUCGUAACAAGGUCUCCGUUGGUGAACCAGCGGAGGGAUCAUUACCGAGUUUCUAACUCCCAAACCCCUGUGAACAUACCUAUUGUUGCUUCGGCGGGAUCGUCCCCGGCUCCCCUGGGCGCCGGAUCAGGCCCCCGCCGCAAGACCCAAAACUCUGUUUUUAUAGUUAUUCUUCUGAGUGGCUUUAAGCAAAAUAAAUUAAAA
Molecule: unclassified non-coding RNA, 206 nt
Filed under: plant metagenome
Description: partial contains small subunit ribosomal RNA and internal transcribed spacer 1
Rfam family: Eukaryotic small subunit ribosomal RNA (bases 1-46)
Source: RNAcentral